RNAcentral lists this ribosomal RNA (280 nucleotides) under uncultured bacterium. RNAcentral describes it as "partial 16S ribosomal RNA". It matches the Rfam family "Bacterial small subunit ribosomal RNA", at positions 77 to 354 of the family's 1533-position model. The record is from RNAcentral.
CGUUCGCGCUUCCGCCGGCGACCGGCGCACGGGUGAGUAACACGUAUGGAACCUGCCCGCAGCAGGGGGAUAAUCGGGGGAAACCCCGUCUAAUACCGCGUAACGACCCGGAGGGGCAUCCCUUCGGGUCCAAAGGCUUACCGGCUGCGGAUGGCCAUGCGUCGCAUUAGCUUGUUGGCGGGGUAACGGCCCACCAAGGCGACGAUGCGUAGGGGUUCUGAGAGGAAGGUCCCCCACACUGGUACUGAGACACGGACCAGACUCCUACGGGAGGCAGCAG